Molecule: ribosomal RNA, 145 nt
Filed under: uncultured phototrophic eukaryote
Lineage: Eukaryota
Description: partial 16S ribosomal RNA
Rfam family: Bacterial small subunit ribosomal RNA
Source: RNAcentral
UCCUACCGUAGGCGACACUGCGACUCCUCCGGGAGGCAGCAGUGAGGAAUUUUCCGCAAUGGGCGAAAGCCUGAGGGAGCAAUACCGUGUGACGGAAGAAGGAUUUUGGUCUGUAAACCUCUUUUUUCAAGAAAGAAGAUCUGAC